UUUAUGGAGAGUUUGAUCCUGGCUCAGGAUGAACGCUGGCGGCGUGCCUAAUACAUGCAAGUCGAGCGAACGGACGAGAAGCUUGCUUCUCUGAUGUUAGCGGCGGACGGGUGAGUAACACGUGGAUAACCUACCUAUAAGACUGGGAUAACUUCGGGAAACCGGAGCUAAUACCGGAUAAUAUUUUGAACCGCAUGGUUCAAAAGUGAAAGACGGUCUUGCUGUCACUUAUAGAUGGAUCCGCGCUGCAUUAGCUAGUUGGUAAGGUAACGGCUUACCAAGGCAACGAUGCAUAGCC
Molecule: ribosomal RNA, 298 nt
Filed under: Staphylococcus aureus
Lineage: Bacteria; Bacillati; Bacillota; Bacilli; Caryophanales; Staphylococcaceae
Description: partial 16S ribosomal RNA
Rfam family: Bacterial small subunit ribosomal RNA
Source: RNAcentral